GAACGCUGGCGGCAGGCUUAACACAUGCAAGUCGAGCGGAAACGAGAAUAGCUUGCUAUUCGGCGUCGAGCGGCGGACGGGUGAGUAAUGCCUGGGAAAUUGCCCUGAUGUGGGGGAUAACCAUUGGAAACGAUGGCUAAUACCGCAUAACGCCUUCGGGCCAAAGAGGGGGACCUUCGGGCCUCUCGCGUCAGGAUAUGCCCAGGUGGGAUAAGCUAGUUGGUGAGGUAAAGGCUCACCAAGGCGACGAUCCCUAGCUGGUCUGAGAGGAUGAUCAGCCACACUGGAACUGAGACACGGUCCAGACUCCUACGGGAGGCAGCAGUGGGGAAUAUUGCACAAUGGGCGCAAGCCUGAUGCAGCCAUGCCGCGUGUAUGAAGAAGGCCUUCGGGUUGUAAAGUACCUUCAGCAGUGAGGAAGGGUGUGAAGUUAAUAGCUUCAUAUCUUGACGUUAGCUGCAGAAGAAGCACCGGCUAACUCCGUGCCAGCAGCCGCGGUAAUACGGAGGGUGCGAGCGUUAAUCGGAAUUACUGGGCGUAAAGC
This 544-nucleotide ribosomal RNA is filed under the name uncultured Gammaproteobacteria bacterium. RNAcentral describes it as "bacterial SSU rRNA". It matches the Rfam family "Bacterial small subunit ribosomal RNA", at positions 31 to 566 of the family's 1533-position model. Lineage: Bacteria; Pseudomonadati; Pseudomonadota; Gammaproteobacteria. The record is from RNAcentral.